Molecule: ribosomal RNA, 503 nt
Filed under: uncultured bacterium
Lineage: Bacteria
Description: partial 16S ribosomal RNA
Rfam family: Bacterial small subunit ribosomal RNA
Source: RNAcentral
AUUGAACGCUGGCGGCAGGCUUAACACAUGCAAGUCGAGCGGGGUGAUGGUGCUUGCACUAUCACUUAGCGGCGGACGGGUGAGUAAUGCUUAGGAAUCUGCCUAUUAGUGGGGGACAACAUCUCGAAAGGGAUGCUAAUACCGCAUACGUCCUACGGGAGAAAGCAGGGGAUCACUUGUGACCUUGCGCUAAUAGGUGAGCCUAAGUGGGAUUAGCUAGUUGGUGGGGUAAAGGCCUACCAAGGCGGCGAUCUGUAGCGGGUCUGAGAGGAUGAUCCGCCAAACUGGGACUGAAACACGGCCCAGACUCCUACGGGAGGCAGCAGUGGGGAAUAUUGGACAAUGGGGGGAACCCUGAUCCAGCCAUGCCGCGUGUUUGAAGAAGGCCUUAUGGUUGUAAAGCACUUUAAGCGAGGAGGAGGCUCUUUUGGUUAAUACCCAAGAUGAGUGGACGUUACUCGCAGAAUAAGCACCGGCUAACUCUGUGCCAGCCGCCGCCGUAA